Sapajus apella (tufted capuchin) is the source of this 2336-nucleotide RNA transcript. It is a transcript of the gene named prothymosin alpha-like, with no coding region annotated. NCBI's taxonomy places the organism in Eukaryota, Metazoa, Chordata, Mammalia, Primates, Cebidae. The record is from RefSeq and is a predicted model, not a curated record. The transcript has a single exon.
CUGGGCUCAAGUGAUCCUCCUGUCCGGGCUGGUCUUUAACUCCUGGGCCGAAGCUAUCCUGCUUGAGCCUCCCAAAGUGCUGGAAUUACACCAUUUGACUGCCGGGCACUCAAUUAAUUUCCGACAAAGGAAUGAAGAUAUAACUUCCUUUACCCACUGCAGCUUAAAAUACAAGAGAAGCUCUGGGAUAUUAAAAUGAGAAACAGUCUUGGAAAAAAUUAAUUUGAGCACACAGAAUAUUUGCCAGUAUGUGCUACAAGAAAUAUGCAGUCAAAAAUAUCCAUAGAAGUGUUGCUUAGAAUGGGGCAAAAGCCCAAGAGAAAAAAAACCUCUCACAGGGUUAAUGAGAACUACAAGCCAGGCUUUAGGCAGAAUUGUAGUCAGGCAUCAACCAGGGUGCACUGGUGUGCCCUGACUCACUUCCCUGCAGCUGCUAACUAACCGAGGGGCUCACAGCACACUGACCACCUGCUCCUCCAUUGCUCCCAUUGAUAGAAACCGACACUGGACCUUUUUACCCAAGAAUUGUUUAAGGUGUUUUACGGAUCCUGAAUUCCGGCAGAAUCCCUGAUGCCAACAGGUCUGAAGGUCCAUACCAGGAAACUGACUCAGCAUCUCCUGGUCCAAUGACUUCACCCCCCACUUCUCAACCAAUCAGCAGUCCUCAUACCUUAGCCCAUCACCUGUUCAGACCCCUUAGAAUCCCCAUCCCCAAACCUCCCAGGGAGGCAGAUUUGAGGUUUCCUCUCAUCUUUUCGUUCAGUUGCCCUACAAUUAUUCAUCUCCUUUGGUGCAACAGGCAAUCCAACCUGGUGGUCUUAUAACCAUAUUAAAGUGAAACAGAGAAAUAAAUGUGAAGCAGAGAGGUGUGACUUGGAAAUUGUAUACACUGGGUGUGGCAACUCCCCUAUAAUUUGUGUUUUCAUACUAACUUUGUUAACAUUAAUAAAGUGCUACCUUUGACUGACUGUGAUUCUGAUGAGGAGGAGGAGGAGGAGGAGAAUAGGGGUGGUAAGGUUUUAAACUAUUCUCUUUCCUCAUUUUCCAAGCAUUUACAAGUAGCUAAAUUUUUCCACAUAUUCGUUUCUUUCUACAGAACUUCCAUUAAAAUAAAAAGCAAUUCUGAAUCAAGCCUUAUGCAUAAGAAUUAAUGGUUCCACCUUAUAGAUCCCAAAUCAGUGUGUCAUUUGGGCAAGUCACCUCUCUCCCAGAUUCCUAUCUGUCCUACAUGUAACUGGAAUUUUGCAACAGAUGUUACACUCUUCCUUCUCCUUAGCAGCUCUGUUAGAAACUUUAAGAAAGCCUGAGAGUAAAAUCUGUACCGUAUAAAUCCAGAGGAAUGUUUAUACGGACUAAUUUCCUCCAAUCUGGUCACCUUUCUAUGCGAAAAUUCCUCAUCUUACAAUGUCUCAUACUUAAAGUCAUUUGGCCUCUUAACUGCACUGUUGAAUAUUUUUAAGACCAAAAAGCUUGCUAAACUCAAAACAGUGAAAGCAUUCAGUUGAAAAUAAAGUGAAAAGCCACAUAUGGCUUAGAGGGAGAAAGCAGCGCUAAUGAUUUUAGGCCUUAACAGUUUGAGAUCCAGACUGGCUGCUCUGAAGCCAUCUUUGCAUUGUUCCUCGCCCAGCUCCUUGCUCACCGCAGCCGCCUCCACUGCGUGCCUCGACUCUUCCGCUGAGGACUCUGGCAGCUUUAUCACCAGAGUCCCUGAACUCUCGCUUUCUUUUUAAUCCCCUGCAUCGGAUCACCAGCGUGCUCCACCAUGUCAGACGCAGCCAGAGACACGAGCUCCGAAAUCACACCGAGUUAAAGGAGAAGGAAGAUGUGGAAGAUGCAGAAAACGGAAGAGAUGCCCCUGCUAACGGGAAUGAGGAAAAUGGGGAGCAGAAGGCUAACACUGACACAAUGAAGAGGAGGAGGAAGGUGGGGAGGAAGAGGAGGAAGAAGGUGAUGGUGAGGAGGAGGAUGGAGAUAAAGAUGAGGAAGCUGAGUCGGCUAUGGGCAAGCGGACAGUAGAAGAUGCCGAGGAUGACGAUGUCGAUACCAAGCAGAAGACCGAUGAGGAUGACUAGAUAGCAAUAAAGGAAAAGCUAAAAAAAAAAAAAAAAAAAAAAAAAAAAAAAAAAAAAAAAAAAAAAAGACCGCCGUGACCCUAUUCCCCUUGCACUUCCCAUCUCAGAAUCCAAACGUGGUCACCACCUUUGAGUAGAGAGGCCCGCCUGCCCGCCCACCACAGGCAGGGCCACCUGCAGAUGACACAUGCGCUCCACCACCAAACCCAAACCGUGAGAAUUUGCAGCAGGGGAGGAAAACAGCCAAAACUUCCAAGGCCCUGC